GAAGGAGCCCGGGGAGGGAGGGGGAGGGGCCGGGAGCUGGGGGUAAGGGAGGAGUGAGCCUGGGUGCUGUGGGGGGAGGGGGUUGUUCAAGGGAUGGGGACGAUCAGGGUCUCUGGGAAGUGCUGACGUGUGCGCGUGUGCGGUGUGUUGCUUGUGGGUGCGUGUGUGGUGUGUGCAUGUGUGUGCGCGCGCGUGUGUGCGGGGUGUGCCGUGAGCGUGUGCCCGCGGUUCGGGGGAUGAGUAGGGGCGCUGACUUUUAGGACCAGCCAUUUGAGUCAAGCUGGAGACGACGUCUUAGAACCUAGGAUGAGUCUCGUUUGGUUUUAGUCUGCAAAGCUCGUCUGCAUCAGACAGGAAUUUUCCCCAGACGCGGGUGCACGUGAAUUAAUUCAUCAGAAGGCGGUUCACGGCCUGAGUGAGGGGGACGAGGGCGGCGAAUUCCUCCGCCUCAUUCCUACCCUGACGAUUCGAGAUGCUCGCUUCACCCCACUGAGAUGUAACUCAGUUUUGUGGGAUCCCACUGCCCUCCAGGUGCCGCUCCGAGUGCUCUACACAGAUUUUCAUUCAGUCCUUGCGGCACACGAAGAGUGGCUGUACCAUUUUGCAUUCCCAGACCGAAGUGUGAAAGCUCCAGAUGCCCCACGCCCUCACCAGCCCACGGUGUUGUCAGCCUUAAUAGUGCUGACCAUUCUGGUGGGUUUGCAGUGUAUCUCAUUGUGUUUUAAUUUGCAUUACCUUGACAACUAAUGGCGUUGAGACUUUCAUAUAUCUUUAGUAAAGAGUCCUUCCAAAUCCUCUGCCGAUUUUUUAAAAAUUGGGUUGUCUUCUUGUAAUUGAGUUGUAAGAAUUCUUUAUACGUUCUGAACAUGUUAUUUAUUGGAUAAAUGUUUCGCAAGUAUUUUCUCCCAGUCUUUGACCUACUUUUUCAUCUUCUUAUCAAGAGCUUUUAAAAAGCAAAACUUUACAUUUUGAUGACAUCCAAUUAUUACUUUUUUCUUUUAUGUUUUUUGUGUAUUAUUUAGGAAAUAAUUGUCUGAACCAAGAUUACAAAUAUUUUCUUGUCUUUCAGAAGUUUUGUGGUUUUAGCUCCUAAGUGUACAUCUGUGAUCCAUUUUGAAUUAAUUUUUGUAUAUGGUAUGAUGUAAUGGUCAAGGUUUUUAUUUUUGCAUAUGGAUAUACAGUUGUUCCAGUACCAUUUCUUGAAAAUAAUUACCAGUACCAUUAAGUUACCUUGGUACUUUUAUUGAAAAUCAAUUGACUCUCAGUUCUGACCCAUCGACUUAUAUGUCUGUUUUUUUUUGUUUUUUUUUUUUUUUUGAGAUGGAGUCUCACUCUGUUGCCCAGGCUGGAGUGCAGUGGUGCUGUCUGGGCUCACUGCAACCUCUGCUCCCAGGUUCAAGCGAUUCUCCUACCCCAGCCUCCUGAGUAGCUGGAAUUACAGGCAUGUGCCACCACACCCAGCUAAUUUUUGUAUUUUUAGUAGAGACGGAGUUUCACCAUGUUGGUUAGGCUGGUCUUGAACUCCUGACCUCGUGAUUCACCUGCCUCGGCCUCCCAAAGUGCUGGGAUUACAGGCGUGAGCCACCGUGCCUGGCCAUGUCUGUUCUUAUGCUAACAUCACAGUAUCUGGAUUAUUGUAGCUCCAUAAUGAAUGCUGGAAUCAGGUAAUGUGAGUCCUCCAACAUUUUUACUCUUUUUCAAAAUAAUUUGACUAUUUUAGGUCCUUUGCAUGUCCAUACAGAUUUUAGACUCAGCUUGUCAAUUUCUACCCAAAAAUGUCUGAUUGAGAUUGUAUUGAACCUAUAUCUUAAUUUGGGGAUAAUUAGUAUGUUAGCAAUAUUGAAUCUUCUAACCUACAUUUACUUAGUCUUCAUUAAUUUAUCUCAUCAAUAUUUUGUAGUUUUCAGUGCACAGGCUUUGCACACAUUUUGUUAAAUUUCCCUAUAAGGAUUUCAUAUUUUUAUAUUUUUCAUUUUGUAAAUGUUAAUUUAAAGGAAUAAGACACCCUCUUUUUUUUCUUUCUUUUUUUCUGGUUUUUUUGUUUGUUUGUUUGUUUUGUUUUUAUAGAGACAAGGUCCCACUAUUUUGCCCAGGCUGGUCUCGAACUCCUGGGCUCAAGCAGUCCUCCCACCUCAGCCUCUCAAAGUGCUGGGAUUACAGGCAGGAGCCACCACACCUGGCCAGAUACCCUCAUUAGAUUUUUGUGUCUAUUCUGAUUUCUUUAAAGUAACAUUUACUUUAAUAAAUGUUACUAUAUAAACAUAUAGCAUUAAUAUAAAAUUGUUUGUUACUGGUACAUAUAAAUACAAUUAACUUUUUAGAUUGCCCUCUUACCCUGUGACCUUGUUAAAUUCACUAAUUCUAGCAGCCGCUUUUGUGUAUUUGGUAAGAUUUUCUACAUAGACAAUCAUGCCACAGGUAAAUAGAACCCAUUUUACUGCUUCCUUUCCAAGCUGCAUGCUUUUUUUUUUUCUUGCUUUAUUGCAUUGGCUAGGUCCUCAUGCAUAAUAGUGAAUAGAAGUAAUGAGAGUAAACACCCUUGCCUUGUUUCUUGUCUUAGUGGGAAACCAUUUGGUCUUUCACCCUUAAGUAUAAUGUAAGCUGUAGUUUUUUUGUAGAUGCCUUUUAUCAGGUUGAAAUCUAUUUCUGUUUUGAGUGUUUUUAUCAUGAACCGUUGAUGAAUCUUGUCAAAUGCUUUUUUCCUCGUCUUUUGAGAUUAUCAUAUGGUUUUUCUUUUUCAGCCUGUUAAUAUGAUGAAUUACACUGAUUCAGUUUCAAAUGUCCAACCAAGCUUGCACUCCAGAGAUGAAGCCCACUUGAUCACAUGGAUUAUUCUUUUAAUAUAUGAUGGAUACGACUUGGCUGUUCUUUUGUUGAGGAUUUUUGUGUUUAUGUUAAUGAGGAUAUUAUUUGUAGUUUUCUUUUCUUGUAAUGUUUUUGUCUUUGUUCAGUGUCAGAGUAAUGCCAACUUCAUAAAGUGAGCUGGGAAGUACUCCCUCAUUUUCUGUUUUCUGUGAAAGAAUUGUAUAGAAUUGAUGUUAUUUCUUCCUUAAGUGUUGAGUAGAAUUCACUUGCAAAGCCAUCUGAGGUUGACAUCUUCUUUGGGAAUGACUUUAGCUAUAAAUUCAAUUUAUUUAACAGAUAUAGGGCUAUUAAGGUUAUUUAAUUUUUUUCUUGAAUGAGCUUUAGUGUCCUGUGUUUUUCAAGGAAUUUUUCCAUUUUAUUUAAGUUUUUAGAUUUGUUGGCAUAAAGUUAUCCCAAUAUUUCCUUAGAAGUUGUGACUUUUACUGCAUAUAAAACAUACCUCAAUAAAGCUAAUACAUACAUAUAUAUAUAUGAAUCAUUUCUGGCCAGGUACAGUGGCUCAUGCCUGUAAUCCCAGCACUUUGGGAGGCAGAGGCAGGUGGAUCACCUGAGAUCAGGUGUUCCAGACCAGCCUGG
This 3441-nucleotide long non-coding RNA is filed under the name Homo sapiens (human). RNAcentral describes it as "non-protein coding lnc-PDE6B-1:1". Lineage: Eukaryota; Metazoa; Chordata; Mammalia; Primates; Hominidae. The record is from RNAcentral.